Molecule: ribosomal RNA, 500 nt
Filed under: uncultured bacterium
Lineage: Bacteria
Description: bacterial SSU rRNA
Rfam family: Bacterial small subunit ribosomal RNA
Source: RNAcentral
AUUGAACGCUGGCGGCAUGCUUUACACAUGCAAGUCGAACGGUAACAGGGAGCUUGCUCCGCUGACGAGUGGCGAACGGGUGAGUAAUGUAUCGGAACGUACCCAGUCGUGGGGGAUAACGUAGCGAAAGUUACGCUAGUACCGCAUAUUCUGUGAGCAGGAAAGCAGGGGAUCGCAAGACCUUGCGCUCUGGGAGCGGCCGAUGUCGGAUUAGGUAGUUGGUGGGGUAAAGGCUCACCAAGCCUGCGAUCUGUAGCUGGUCUGAGAGGACGACCAGCCUCACUGGAACUGAGACACGGUCCAGACUCCUACGGGAGGCAGCAGUGGGGAAUUUUGGACAAUGGGCGCAAGCCUGAUCCAGCCAUUCCGCGUGCAGGAUGAAGGCCCUCGGGUUGUAAACUGCUUUUGUACGGUAACGAAAAGGCUUUCUCUAAUACAGGGGGCUCAUGACGGUACCGUAAGAAUAAGCACCGGCUAACUACGUGCCAGCAGCCGCGUAA